GACGAACGCUGGCGGCGUGCCUAACACAUGCAAGUCGAACGGUACUGUUUUGAAAGAUUUCUUCGGAAUGAAUUUGAUUUAGUUUAGUGGCGGACGGGUGAGUAACGCGUGAGUAACCUGCCUUCAAGAGGGGAAUAACAUUCUGAAAAGAAUGCUAAUACCGCAUGACAUAUCGGAACCACAUGGUUUUGAUAUCAAAGAUUUUAUCGCUUGAAGAUGGACUCGCGUCCGAUUAGUUAGUUGGUGAGGUAACGGCUCACCAAGACCGCGAUCGGUAGCCGGACUGAGAGGUUGAACGGCCGCAUGGGGACUGAGACACGGCCCAGACUCCUACGGGAGGCAGCAGUGGGGGAUAUUGCGCAAUGGGGGCAACCCUGACGCAGCAACGCCGCGUGAAGGAUGAAGGUUUUCGGAUUAUAAACUUCUUUUAUUAAGGACGAAAAAUGACGGUACUUAAUGAAUAAGCUCCGGCUAACUACGUG
This 482-nucleotide ribosomal RNA is filed under the name uncultured bacterium. RNAcentral's name for it is "partial 16S ribosomal RNA". It matches the Rfam family "Bacterial small subunit ribosomal RNA", at positions 28 to 507 of the family's 1533-position model. The record is from RNAcentral.